Molecule: long non-coding RNA, 309 nt
Organism: Oncorhynchus tshawytscha (Chinook salmon)
Lineage: Eukaryota; Metazoa; Chordata; Actinopteri; Salmoniformes; Salmonidae
Source: Ensembl
AGGAGACACACACACACACACACAGAGGUACAGUAAACACACACAGAGGUACAGGAGACACACACACACAGAGGUACAGAAGACACACACACACACACAGAGGUACAGUAGACACACACACACACACACAGAGGUACAGUAGACACACACACACACACACACAGAGGUACAGUAGACACACACACACAGAGGUACAGUAGACACACACACAGAGGUACAGUAGACACACACACACACACACACAGAGGUACAGUAGACACACACACAGAGGUACAGUAGACACACACACACAGAGGUACAGUAGACACA